GGAAGGGCUUGCUGUGGAGGAAACCAGAGAAGUCAGAACAAAAAGGAAAAACGUUCUCUCGGCACGUCCCAGAGGUGACAACCAGCCGGGGAUGGUUAAUUAUUUGUUACAACAAAAGAGCCAUCACUGAGCUGAUGGGAGGCUGCAGCUGCUCUGGAAGAAUUCCAGCACCAGGAGAGGGAAAGGACACGCAGGGACUGCAGGUGACACCCCAAAAGAGGGGUUACCUGCAUUUUCUGGAAGUCACUCUGGGUGAAAAAGGGCAUGAAGCCUUGGGUCUGCUCAGCCAGCACGGACAGCAGGGACACCAGCAGCAGACUGGCCACCACCUUCCUCGAAACCAUCCCGAGAGCC
Molecule: long non-coding RNA, 354 nt
Organism: Onychostruthus taczanowskii (white-rumped snowfinch)
Lineage: Eukaryota; Metazoa; Chordata; Aves; Passeriformes; Passeridae
Exons: 3
Source: RefSeq, a predicted model, not a curated record